UGGUUCUCGCAUCGAUGAAGAACGCAGCGAAACGCGAUAGGUAAUGUGAAUUGCAGAAUUCCGUGAAUCAUCGAAUCUUUGAACGCACAUUGCGCUCCCUGGUAUUCCUAGGAGCAUGUCUGUCUGAGCGUCAGUACACACCCUCCGUCGACCCUUUCGGGUGGAUCGGGUAUUGAGUUUCGCGGUCGAAAGAGCGCGUCCUCUAAAGUGGAAAGCCAGCGGCCCGCCUGCCCUUGAAAGACGUAGUAAUGCGAAUUAUCCGUCCGAGACUGGGCUCAGCGCGCUCGCCAAAAUCGAACUUCUCAAGGUUUGACCUCAGAUCAGACAAGAGUACCCGCUGA
RNAcentral lists this unclassified non-coding RNA (341 nucleotides) under uncultured fungus. RNAcentral describes it as "partial contains 5.8S ribosomal RNA and internal transcribed spacer 2". The stretch from base 1 to 133 matches the Rfam family "5.8S ribosomal RNA", at positions 22 to 154 of the family's 154-position model. The record is from RNAcentral. Lineage: Eukaryota; Fungi.